AUUGAACGCUAGCGGCAGGCCUAACACAUGCAAGUCGAGCGGAGCGGCGGACGGGUGAGUAAUGCCUAGGAAUCUGCCUGGUAGUGGGGGAUAACGUCCGGAACCGGGCGCAAAUACCGCAUACUAUCAGAUGAGCCUGGGUGGGAUUAGCUAGUUGGUGGGGUAAAGGCCUACCAAGGCGACGAUCCGUAACUGGUCUGAGGGGAUGAUCAGGCACACUGGAACUGAGACACGGUCCAGACACCUACGGGAGGCAGCAGUGGGGAAUAGUGGACAAUGGGCGGAAGACUGAUCCAGCCAUCCCGGUUGUGUGAAGAAGGUCUUCGGAUUGUAAUGCACUUUAAGUUGGGAAGCGUUACCUACAGAAUAAGCACCGGCUAACUUCGUGCCAGCAGCCGCGGUAAUAC
Molecule: ribosomal RNA, 407 nt
Filed under: uncultured bacterium
Lineage: Bacteria
Description: partial 16S ribosomal RNA
Rfam family: Bacterial small subunit ribosomal RNA
Source: RNAcentral